AAAUUUAUGUGACAGGAAAAACUGUGAUCAAGGAGGUGGUUUCACAGGGCCAGGCUCCCCCAUGGCUUUUGCGAUGUGCUGACUCCUGUGAGUUCCCCAAAUAUGUGAAACUUGACUACAUAAUUUGUGGUAGUAGGGGACUGCGUUCACACUUUCCCCUU
Molecule: small nuclear RNA, 161 nt
Organism: Nannospalax galili (Upper Galilee mountains blind mole rat)
Lineage: Eukaryota; Metazoa; Chordata; Mammalia; Rodentia; Spalacidae
Gene: U1
Rfam family: U1 spliceosomal RNA
About the family: U1 is a small nuclear RNA (snRNA) component of the spliceosome (involved in pre-mRNA splicing).
Source: Ensembl